RNAcentral lists this small RNA (132 nucleotides) under Marmota monax (woodchuck). Lineage: Eukaryota; Metazoa; Chordata; Mammalia; Rodentia; Sciuridae. The record is from RNAcentral.
GCCAGGGCAUGGUAGUGCACACCUGUAAUCCCAGCAGCUUGGGAGGCUGAGGCAGGAGAAUCGCGAGUUCAAAGCCAGCCUCAGCCUCAGCAAUGGAGAGGCACUAAGCAACUCAGUGAGACCCUGUCUCUA